UUUUAAUGUUUUUGAUGUUUUGUAGAGAGAGAAACAAAUCAGUUGCAGAGAAAAUAGAUCUAGGUUUUCUUGUCAUUCUACCUCCUUCCCUUCGUUUGCUUCUAUUACAAUUGAUCAUAAAAAAUAUGAUCCAAUAGGUAGCGUAACCGAAUAUAUCAGUUCAACAAUUUCAUUGGAGAUUUCGCAAAAAUGAACUAUUGGAUUGGGUCUUCGAAAUUUUGAAGGAGAAAUUAAAUAAAACAUAGACGUAAAGGAGAUUGAGAAGAAGCAUUAGAAGGAAAGUUGGGUUAUAUGGAUUAUUUUUUCCGCUACAAUCAAAACCGGAGAUGUUGAGAAAGGGACUAUCGUUGAAUAGAUGAUUGAAGAAGUAGUGAGGGACAGUGAUCAUUUAAGGAGCUUAAUUAAUAUUUUGUGUAGCUAAAAGGAAAGUGGGUGUAACUUCCUUAAAUGACACAAGCUCAAGAUCACACCAGGUUAUAAGCUGGUGUCCCAUGUAUUAUCACUUUAACCUUGCAUUUAUGGUGUGGCUCCAACUUCUAUCUUUUGAUGGGGAGACAUGGAAAGACCGGAUCAUUUUGUAGGCGUGUAUAUAAUUGUACAAGAUGAUGCAACGCGGUGCAAGGUUAUCUGCUAAACUUACCUCUACAAAUCUAGCUGUUAUCCAACUGGAGCUUGGCAUGGUUGAUAGUUUUUUGUCUGUGCGGACUAGGAUGGCAGUUUGGCAUAAUUGGAUUUUUUUUUGGAUCUUUGCAGCGGUGUACAUAAUUGUACACACAAAUGUAAAUUAAUUUUUUUAAAAUUAAAAUUAUAUAGUCAUAUGUGUACUCUUUUUGUAGC
Papaver somniferum (opium poppy) is the source of this 837-nucleotide long non-coding RNA. RefSeq lists it as uncharacterized. The transcript has 7 exons. Lineage: Eukaryota; Viridiplantae; Streptophyta; Magnoliopsida; Ranunculales; Papaveraceae. The record is from RefSeq and is a predicted model, not a curated record.